Molecule: ribosomal RNA, 273 nt
Filed under: uncultured bacterium
Lineage: Bacteria
Description: partial 16S ribosomal RNA
Rfam family: Bacterial small subunit ribosomal RNA
Source: RNAcentral
UACGUAGGGGGCGAGCGUUGUCCGGAAUUAUUGGGCGUAAAGGGCGUGUAGGCGGUCCUGUAAGUCAGGGGUGAAACCCCGGGGCUCAACCCCGGGCCUGCCUCUGAAACUGCGGGACUUGAGUGCUCUAGAGGGUAGUGGAAUUGCCGGUGUAGCAGUGAAAUGCGUAGAGAUCGGCAGGAACACCAGUGGCGAAGGCGACUGCCUGGGGAGUAACUGACGCUGAGGCGCGAAAGCUAGGGGAGCAAACAGGAUUAGAAACCCCCGUAGUCC